RNAcentral lists this ribosomal RNA (467 nucleotides) under uncultured bacterium. Its description in RNAcentral is "partial 16S ribosomal RNA". It matches the Rfam family "Bacterial small subunit ribosomal RNA", at positions 28 to 506 of the family's 1533-position model. The record is from RNAcentral.
GACGAACGCUGGCGGCGUGCUUAACACAUGCAAGUCGAACGGAAAGGCCCUGCUUUUGUGGGGUGCUCGAGUGGCGAACGGGUGAGUAACACGUGAGUAACCUGCCCUUGACUUUGGGAUAACUUCAGGAAACUGGGGCUAAUACCGGAUAGGAGCUCCUGCUGCAUGGUGGGGGUUGGAAAGUUUCGGCGGUUGGGGAUGGACUCGCGGCUUAUCAGCUUGUUGGUGGGGUAGUGGCUUACCAAGGCUUUGACGGGUAGCCGGCCUGAGAGGGUGACCGGCCACAUUGGGACUGAGAUACGGCCCAGACUCCUACGGGAGGCAGCAGUGGGGAAUAUUGCACAAUGGGCGGAAGCCUGAGGCAGCAACGCCGCGUGCGGGAUGACGGCCUUCGGGUGGUAAACCGCUUUCGCCUGUGACGAAGCGUGAGUGACGGUAAUGGGUAAAGAAGCACCGGCUAACUACGU